This 116-nucleotide ribosomal RNA is filed under the name Bacillus subtilis. Lineage: Bacteria; Bacillati; Bacillota; Bacilli; Caryophanales; Bacillaceae. The record is from RNAcentral.
CACUGUGGCGAUAGCGAAGAGGUCACACCCGUUCCCAUACCGAACACGGAAGUUAAGCUCUUCAGCGCCGAUGGUAGUCGGGGGUUUCCCCCUGUGAGAGUAGGACGCCGCCAAGC